Molecule: ribosomal RNA, 482 nt
Filed under: uncultured bacterium
Lineage: Bacteria
Description: partial 16S ribosomal RNA
Rfam family: Bacterial small subunit ribosomal RNA
Source: RNAcentral
AAUGAACGUUGGCGGCGUGGAUUAGGCAUGCAAGUCGUGCGGAAAGGCUCCUUCGGGAGUACUCGAGCGGCGAAAGGGAGAGUAACGCGUGGAUAUCUACCCCCUGGACCGGGAUAGCGGCGGGAAACUGCCGGUAAUACCGGAUAACGUCUGCGGACCAAAGGUGUGAUUCCGCCGGGGGAUGAGUUCGCGUCCUAUUAGCUAGUUGGUAGGGUAACGGCCUACCAAGGCGAAGAUGGGUACCGGGUGUGAGAGCAUGGCCCGGCUCACUGGGACUGAGACACUGCCCAGACACCUACGGGUGGCUGCAGUCGAGAAUCUUCGGCAAUGGGCGCAAGCCUGACCGAGCGACGCCGCGUGCGGGAUGAAGGCCUUCGGGUUGUAAACCGCUGUCAGAGGGGAGGAAAUGCGUGGGAGUUCUCUUUCACGUGACCUAUCCUCAGAGGAAGUACGGGCUAAGUUCGUGCCAGCCGCCGCAGUAA